GUCGAGGGGCAACGGGGAUGUUAGCUUGCUAAUAUCUGCCGGCGACCGGCGCACGGGUGAGUAACGCGUAUGCGACCUGCCCGUCACAGGGGGAUAAUCCGGAGAAAUCCGGUCUAAUACCGCAUAAUAUCGUGAAUCUGCAUGGAUUUGCGAUUAAAGGAGCGAUCCGGUGACGGAUGGGCAUGCGUGACAUUAGCUAGUCGGCGGGGUAACGGCCCACCGAGGCGACGAUGUCUAGGGGUUCUGAGAGGAAGGUCCCCCACACUGGUACUGAGACACGGACCAGACUCCUACGGGAGGCAGCAGUGAGGAAUAUUGGUCAAUGGGCUUACGCCUGAACCAGCCAAGUCGCGUGAGGGAAGACUGCCCUAUGGGUUGUAAACCUCUUUUGUCAGGGAGCAACGCCGGCUACGUGUAGCCGGACUGAGAGUACCUGAAGAAAAAGCAUCGGCUAACUCCGUGCCAGCAGCCGCGGUAAUACGUAGGGAGCAAGCGUUGUCCGGAAUUACUGGGUGUAAAGGGUGCGUAGGCGGCCGUAAGGGUCAGACGUGAAAUAUAUGGGCUUAACCCAUAGACUGCGUUUGAAACUAUAUGGCUUGAGUGAAGUAGAGGCAGGCGGAAUUCCCUGUGUAGCGGUGAAAUGCGUAGAGAUAGGGAGGAACACCAGUGGCGAAGGCGGCCUGCUGGGCUUUAACUGACGCUGAGGCACGAAAGCGUGGGUAGCAAACAGGAUUAGAUACCCUGGUAGUCCACGCUGUAAACGAUGAUUACUAGGUGUGGGAGGUCUGACCCCUUCCGUGCCGCAGUUAACACAAUAAGUAAUC
RNAcentral lists this ribosomal RNA (824 nucleotides) under uncultured bacterium. Its description in RNAcentral is "bacterial SSU rRNA". It matches the Rfam family "Bacterial small subunit ribosomal RNA", at positions 61 to 869 of the family's 1533-position model. The record is from RNAcentral.